GAGAGUACAGCUCAGUGGUAGAGUGCUUGCCUAGCAAGUGUGAGGCCCUGGGUUUGAUUCCCAGUACUCUAC
This is a non-coding RNA of Ictidomys tridecemlineatus (thirteen-lined ground squirrel), 72 nucleotides long. NCBI's taxonomy places the organism in Eukaryota, Metazoa, Chordata, Mammalia, Rodentia, Sciuridae. The record is from Rfam.